This 116-nucleotide transfer RNA is filed under the name Bos taurus (domestic cattle). It matches the Rfam family "tRNA". From Rfam's summary of the family: Transfer RNA (tRNA) molecules are approximately 80 nucleotides in length. Their secondary structure includes four short double-helical elements and three loops (D, anti-codon, and T loops). Further hydrogen bonds mediate the characteristic L-shaped molecular structure. tRNAs have two regions of fundamental functional importance: the anti-codon, which is responsible for specific mRNA codon recognition, and the 3' end, to which the tRNAs corresponding amino acid is attached (by aminoacyl-tRNA synthetases). tRNAs cope with the degeneracy of the genetic code in two manners: having more than one tRNA (with a specific anti-codon) for a particular amino acid; and 'wobble' base-pairing, i.e. permitting non-standard base-pairing at the 3rd anti-codon position. Lineage: Eukaryota; Metazoa; Chordata; Mammalia; Artiodactyla; Bovidae. RNAcentral also lists the same sequence under 3 other names. The record is from Rfam by way of RNAcentral.
UCCCUGGUGGCUCAGUGGUAAAGAAUCUGCCUACUAAGGCAAAGAGUCAGACAUGACUGAGCAACUGAACAACAAAAACAAGGCAGAAGACACAGGUUCGAUCCCUGAUCUGGGAA